AAACCAGCACCUCAAGUGGUCAGGAGGAUUAUUGGGCCUAAAGCAUCCGUAGCCUGCUCUGUAAGUUUCCGGUUAAAUUCAUUAGCUCAACUAAUGGCCUGCCGGGAAUACUGUACAGCUAGGGAGUGGGAGAGGUAGACGGUACUCGGUAGGAAGGGGUAAAAUCCUUUGAUCUAUCGAUGACCACCUGUGGCGAAGGCGGUCUACCAGAACACGUUCGACGGUGAGGGAUGAAAGCUGGGGGAGCAAACCGGAUUAGAAACCCGGGUAGUCC
Molecule: ribosomal RNA, 274 nt
Filed under: uncultured bacterium
Lineage: Bacteria
Description: partial 16S ribosomal RNA
Rfam family: Archaeal small subunit ribosomal RNA
Source: RNAcentral